This is a long non-coding RNA of Elaeis guineensis (African oil palm), 1936 nucleotides long. RefSeq lists it as uncharacterized. NCBI's taxonomy places the organism in Eukaryota, Viridiplantae, Streptophyta, Magnoliopsida, Arecales, Arecaceae. The record is from RefSeq and is a predicted model, not a curated record.
AACCCCCCUAUUCAUCUUCAACCCAAUCAAAAGAUCUCUCGUCCAUGGCCUCCAUUUAGGACGUCUUCUGAGAGAGAUUUUUCUCUCUCUCGGUCUCUCUUCUAUAUUUCUCCUCUCGCCGUUUCUAACUUUUAUUUUUUAGUCUUAGAGGGGGAGGAUGGGGAAGUACGUGGAGAUGUUGGACAUGGGGGUGAGGAUAGCGGCGCGGUUCCACUCGCACUGCCCCCAGACGGCCCGGAUGUAUUACAAGCCGCCGUCUAGGCCGGAAGGCGAAGGGGGUAACUCUACCGAGGUCGGUGACGGGAGCCAUCACGGGUUGAUGACGGGCUGGAUGGCGUUUCCUUCUUCUUCUUCGUCGGCGGGAGGGGCGUGCCGUGGCGACGCCGUCCGUCCGGCCUUCGACACCGCCGACAUCAUUCUUUAUACUGUUUGAGUCCAAAAAGAAAUUGAGGGAAAAAUAUUUACACACACAGAAAAAGAGAAAACAAUAUGUGUUUUUUUAUUUAUUCGAUGGGUCUGUGAGAGAUUGUUUUAAGUGUUGGACUUUAAGCUCUCUCUCUUCACAUCCAUGACAUGGGAAUUCUAAGAAAGAAUUUUUUUUUAUUCGUUCAUUCAUCAUUCAUCCAUCGUUUCCAAUUUUCCUUAGCUCAAAGGGAGGUGAUGGGAUUCGAACUCCUCGGGACCAAAUGUGUGGUCUCCUCCAACAGGGGAAAUGCCGGUUCGUAUCUAAAUUCUCGCGUUGACUGAGAUUCUGGGAUCCCACGGUUGGGUUACCGCAGGGCCUGGAGCCGUAUUGGCCCAAUGGAACGAGAUGUUUUUUUCUUUCAAUCGCAGGAAAGGAGAUGAGAUGGGUUUGCUUUUACGUCAAUAAUAACUUACGGCAGCUUUAUUGGAAUCGAUCCUUGUGCUGCACAAGCAAACUAUAUAUUGUCCAUGUCUAUCUUUCUAAUAACUGUUUGGCAAGCUUCUUUUUUGUCCCAGAACCAGAUAUCCGUCAAAACUUAAACCUAACCAAUUUAUUAAACUUCUUUAAUUUGUUAGGCAAGAAAUCAAAAGGCUACGAAGACGGGGAGGUAAGCAUACGAGAUGGUAAUUUAAUGUCGUGGAGAGAUUGUUUGGAAGGAAAAGCCAGAGAGCGUGAGGCUGUGAAUUAGCUGUCGGCCGAUCCUUUCAAGCAACUGGCGGCGAACGCGGAGAGCACACCCUUUCGGACGAGAAAUUUAUACCCUACACCGGAUGUACCACAUCAGUCACGCACCGAGCCAAUGAGACCUUCCCACAUCAGCUUAAGUCAAAAAAAAAAAGGAAAGCCCGCGCUCGAGCUCUUCCUCCCCCAGGUGUGCGCAAUGAGGUAACAAGCGGUGGGGGUCCGCCUUGGAGCGCUAGGAUAUUCGUCCCCCACCGCCUCCCGAUUCCAGCCGCCCAUCAAAAUCGCUACCUCCGAUUCCGUACCCUUCACCUCCGCCCUCCCCGUGGCCAGGCGCGCGAUGUGGCGAGGUCUCGUUGGCUUGGUGCACUACUGAUGUGGUACAUCAGGUUUACGGAGUAUUGCUGGAGUAGGAAAGCAUGAAACGCGAGGAAGGUCGUGUGGACCUCGCUUUACGGAACUUGUUUGGAAGACACGGUUGGAAUCUGCUGUUCCUUUCAAAUUUCCAAUAUGCACGGCCCAAGUCAUAUUUUCCAAUUUGUUUGGGCCCUCCACGUCAAUUCACAUGGGACUUGAAAAUUAAAUGAGAAGAGGCGUGGCUCGUGUUUCUUCUCUAUGGUGCUUGAUUUUAACUUUGCCAUCUACAUGUUUACUAGAACAAAUAUUGUUAACCCCACAAGCACAUGAACGUGUAUUUGAUCGCAUGCAUCAGAAAAAAUCACCUUAAAUUGUGGGACCUUGGUGUUUUUGUGUAGAAAAACAAUGCAUUGACCUGGUUAUAUUUAGCCA